AAAUUGAAGAGUUUGAUCAUGGCUCAGAUUGAACGCUGGCGGCAGGCCUAACACAUGCAAGUCGAGCGGUAGCACAGAGAGCUUGCUCUCGGGUGACGAGCGGCGGACGGGUGAGUAAUGUCUGGGAAACUGCCUGAUGGAGGGGGAUAACUACUGGAAACGGUAGCUAAUACCGCAUAAUGUCGCAAGACCAAAGUGGGGGACCUUCGGGCCUCAUGCCAUCAGAUGUGCCCAGAUGGGAUUAGCUAGUAGGUGGGGUAACGGCUCACCUAGGCGACGAUCCCUAGCUGGUCUGAGAGGAUGACCAGCCACACUGGAACUGAGACACGGUCCAGACUCCUACGGGAGGCAGCAGUGGGGAAUAUUGCACAAUGGGCGCAAGCCUGAUGCAGCCAUGCCGCGUGUGUGAAGAAGGCCUUCGGGUUGUAAAGCACUUUCAGCGGGGAGGAAGGCGAUAAGGUUAAUAACCUUGUCGAUUGACGUUACCCGCAGAAGAAGCACCGGCUAACUCCGUGCCAGCAGCCGCGGUAAUACGGAGGGUGCAAGCGUUAAUCGGAAUUACUGGGCGUAAAGCGCACGCAGGCGGUCUGUCAAGUCGGAUGUGAAAUCCCCGGGCUUAACCUGGGAACUGCAUUCGAAACUGGCAGGCUAGAGUCUUGUAGAGGGGGGUAGAAUUCCAGGUGUAGCGGUGAAAUGCGUAGAGAUCUGGAGGAAUACCGGUGGCGAAGGCGGCCCCCUGGACAAAGACUGACGCUCAGGUGCGAAAGCGUGGGGAGCAAACAGGAUUAGAUACCCUGGUAGUCCACGCCGUAAACGAUGUCGAUUUGGAGGUUGUGCCCUUGAGGCGUGGCUUCCGGAGCUAACGCGUUAAAUCGACCGCCUGGGGAGUACGGCCGCAAGGUUAAAACUCAAAUGAAUUGACGGGGGCCCGCACAAGCGGUGGAGCAUGUGGUUUAAUUCGAUGCAACGCGAAGAACCUUACCUGGUCUUGACAUCCACAGAACUUAGCAGAGAUGCUUUGGUGCCUUCGGGAACUGUGAGACAGGUGCUGCAUGGCUGUCGUCAGCUCGUGUUGUGAAAUGUUGGGUUAAGUCCCGCAACGAGCGCAACCCUUAUCCUUUGUUGCCAGCGGUUCGGCCGGGAACUCAAAGGAGACUGCCAGUGAUAAACUGGAGGAAGGUGGGGAUGACGUCAAGUCAUCAUGGCCCUUACGACCAGGGCUACACACGUGCUACAAUGGCAUAUACAAAGAGAAGCGACCUCGCGAGAGCAAGCGGACCUCAUAAAGUAUGUCGUAGUCCGGAUUGGAGUCUGCAACUCGACUCCAUGAAGUCGGAAUCGCUAGUAAUCGUAGAUCAGAAUGCUACGGUGAAUACGUUCCCGGGCCUUGUACACACCGCCCGUCACACCAUGGGAGUGGGUUGCAAAAGAAGUAGGUAGCUUAACCUUCGGGAGGGCGCUUACCACUUUGUGAUUCAUGACUGGGGUGAAGUCGUAACAAGGUAACCGUAGGGGAACCUGCGGUUGGAUCACCUCCUUA
Molecule: ribosomal RNA, 1540 nt
Filed under: Klebsiella pneumoniae
Lineage: Bacteria; Pseudomonadati; Pseudomonadota; Gammaproteobacteria; Enterobacterales; Enterobacteriaceae
Description: bacterial SSU rRNA
Rfam family: Bacterial small subunit ribosomal RNA
Source: RNAcentral